Molecule: long non-coding RNA, 215 nt
Organism: Varanus komodoensis (Komodo dragon)
Lineage: Eukaryota; Metazoa; Chordata; Lepidosauria; Squamata; Varanidae
Exons: 3
Source: RefSeq, a predicted model, not a curated record
CAUUGCAUUUUGAAGGGAUCAUAAGAUAUGACGACAUUCUGGAUAAUGAUGGAGGAUUGAAAUUGAAUCAAGGAACGCAAGAACAGGGAUCUAGUAUUUAUUGGUGGCGUAAGGUGCAGAUACAAUCGAGAUAUGCUAAAGACCAUAAAACGUGGGGCUUUUAUAAAGAUUUAACAGCAUUUGAUCAGGUGAUGCUUAAAUCAGAUGAGAACAUG